GAAGGAAAUAACAAUUUAAUAGGAAAAUAAAUUGAUGGGGCAACUUUGGGAUUCUCCUAGUUGAAGAUGCGGCAACUUUGGGAUUCUCCUAGCUGUGGGUCCUUCUUUGUUUAACUUUUCCCAACAAACUCGUCCAUAACACCUCUUCAAGCUUCCAACUAAGCUUCAUGGGCAUCAGAACCAAUUUUGUCCUGCCUCUUGCUUCAUCAGGUCAAUUUUUGAGUUAAA
This 228-nucleotide unclassified non-coding RNA is filed under the name Hevea brasiliensis (rubber tree). Lineage: Eukaryota; Viridiplantae; Streptophyta; Magnoliopsida; Malpighiales; Euphorbiaceae. The record is from RNAcentral.